This 500-nucleotide ribosomal RNA is filed under the name uncultured bacterium. RNAcentral describes it as "bacterial SSU rRNA". It matches the Rfam family "Bacterial small subunit ribosomal RNA", at positions 28 to 521 of the family's 1533-position model. The record is from RNAcentral.
GACGAACGCUGGCGGCGUGCUUAACACAUGCAAGUCGAGCGGUAAGGCCCUUUCGGGGGUACACGAGCGGCGAACGGGUGAGUAACACGUGGGUGACCUGCCCUCAGCUCUGGGAUAAGCCUGGGAAACCGGGUCUAAUACUGGAUAUGACUCCAUGACGCAUGUUGUGGGGUGGAAAGCCUUGUGCGGCUGAGGAUGGGCCCGCGGCCUAUCAGCUUGUUGGUGGGGUGANGGGCCUACCAAGGCGACGACGGGUAGCCGGCCUGAGAGGGCGACCGGCCACACUGGGACUGAGACACGGCCCAGACUCCUACGGGAGGCAGCAGUGGGGAAUAUUGGACAAUGGGCGAAAGCCUGAUCCAGCGAUGCCGCGUGUGUGAAGAAGGCCUGCGGGUUGUAAAGCACUUUCAAGUAGGGAAGAAAGCCGAGUGCCAAUACCACUCGGUCUUGACGUUACCUAAAGAAGAAGCACCGGCUAACUCCGUGCCAGCCGCCGCGGU